ACGCCACAUGGUUGUACUCGGCGUAAAGGUCAAAUACGCCACAUAGUCGUUAUAGGGGCGAAGUGGUUAAACACAGACCUUCAUCUGUAGUGGUGCAGACAUAUAUCAAAAUCUUGCUCAAUUCCAAAAGGGCCAUGAUAGCAGAAAUUGCGUAACGUCUGGAUAAACAUUUGAGCAAAUCUUUAUUGUUAUGUAGGAUCCUGACUUAUUGGAUUCUGAGAUUCCAUUUUGGGUCCACGUUUGAUAAUAUAAACAAAACGUGUACAAAGUGAAAAACAAAACAAAAUUUGGUCCACUCAUAAUUUUUCCUACUCCUAAAUCUUAAUGCAUAUCUAUGUAGUUUGACAUGACGGUCGUGCGAGUAGCUGAUUUUAGCUGAUGCAGCUAUCUAAUUUAAAUGACACAAUAUUUUGGCCACGUACAUAUUGAUUAUGAAACAAUGUAUUAAUUCUAAUUUCACAAGCUGGCCAUCAUACUCACUCUUAGGGUUAGAUUAAUCAAAAGAAUGGUCUCUAAGAUAAAAAUUGUUUCGUCAUUUAUUAUUUCAAUUUUAUAAAGAUUGAUUGACAGGGGCUCAAAUCGCCGAGAGCAUGAUUUGCUACAACAGAAGAGCGAUAAAAAUUCAAACGAAUGUAUUAACCUUAAUAUCCAAAGAUAUUUCCUACCUGUUCUCCUUGUUAGCCUUGAUCAAGAUAAGGAAUGCAUCUAGAUUCCUGCGUUUUUAAGUUGAUAAUAUAUCAAGCAAUUAUUUCAACGUAAUGAAUGACACGCCUGAGGGCUGCGGCAUAAUGUGGAAUUCUCUACUGACUCAAUAAUUAUAAUGUUCAGCAGCACGCGGUGAAUUAAAUUAGAGAAGAAAAGGACGUUAAGAAGAUCCUGCUUGACUGCAAUGCACCAUUAAAUACAUCACAACACAGUGUAGCAUUUUUGUCUUCAGAGACUGGAGUUCAGAAAAACAGAAAUUUUUCAAUAUUGUUUUCCGUGGUUGCAACUCUUGCUCAUUUUAAAUGCUUAUAUGUACUUUCAUUAGACGCAACUUGUGAGAACAUUGCAUUACCUACUUGUCAAUACAUUGAGGGCGGCCUGUAACUAACUAGCAAGUGAUAAGCCAAGGUAAUGACGAUACAAUUAUGAACAUCCAAUGUGGAGUUCCAAACGGUUGCGAAGCUCAUUUACUACAUUAAACAUACUUUAAUUUUGCCUUCCCAUCCUGGAUAAUUCGAAAUCGUUAAAUGUUCCUUAAUCACGCACACAAAUUGUCCACGCAAAUUGUAAUGGAAUGAAAUGUCAAAAAUAUAGCUCAGUAUUUUCAUAGUAAAAAAUUUAACCUCAUUAUACAUAAAUAUAUUAUUAGAGAAAGUAUGUAGUGGCUUGAAGUAAUAUGGUCAAUCAGAAUAUUCGGCAUUAGGUUAGGUUACCAAUACUAACUAAUACUGACAGCUGGACUCCUUGGAAGAGGUUUUAGUGGAUAGAUUUAUGAGCAAAUUAUUUAAUUCCAUGUAAUUUGUGGGCCUCUUCCUCCACAACUUUAAUGCUGACUUACCUUCCAACCUCCAUCACAUAAUUACGUACUUUCUGCCAUGUCAAACGCAAAGCUUUUAAAAUUUUGUCAAAAAAAUUAAAGUAGACAAGAACCACACAACAACACUGAGUCAUGCAUUGCAUGUAACGAGAUUUUCCCUGCUGCAUGAGAUCAAACAUGGCCAAGAUUAUCUGAGAGAGAGAUUUAAAUCGGCUUGGUUUCCAACCUGACUGCAUUACAAUAUCAAAUGUGAAGGUUUGACGGACGGUUUUUGAAAGCAUGCGAAGCUCAUCACUUUCAAUUAAAUCUCCUGAGAUGUGAUGCCUUUGAUGUUCUUCUAAGGAGCUAUUAAAGUCUAUUCUGCCAGUUAAAAUCUUAAUGCAGCCGCCCAGACCUGCUAACUAAUAUGUAAGAGUUUUUAUUCGUGAAAAUUCCACAAGCUGGAGGUCUCCUUACUCACCAUACUACAAAAAGAAAAAGAUAAUUACAUUUAUUAGAUAAACUCCUCUUUUACAGCAUUCUCGUAAAUAAUUUGCAUUUAUUUUUAUAAUGUUCUGAAAUAAAUCUAAAAAUAACGUAAAAAUGGAAUGGCUGUCCCGAGGGUUGGGGUCAUUCUCAGUCAUUUUCAGUUGGAGUGUGUCGGCAUUCUUGCUGAUUGUUGACAACGGAACAUUGUCCUUUGUCCUCCUCUAUUAUGAAGCAUACCUGGCUGACAGUACGAGUUGAACUUUCUCUCAACUUGAGCGUGAAGAGCAUGACAUGAGGUGGUGUUGGGAAAGAGAAAGCAUUGACAUUUGAGCCCAGGCCUUGCCUUGGUCCCACUGACUCCGUCCAUAUGUCAUCCGUGACAAUGCAGGCAGGAUAAACCGUACAAUUUGCGACGCGAUAUGGUGGCACUGCAUCCCUUGAAGCAAUCUCGCCGUUGACAGUCGGUGGCCUGUGCCGCUGCUACUCUCCUCCCUGUAUUGAAUUUCAGUUGAGAGGUUGAGCUGCGCGAGGUGAUGUUGAUGUUGAUGUUGACAAACGGUUAUUGCAUUGGAACAUUGUAUGGUUGACCGUGAGAAUGAAUUUCAAAUUUGUUAAGCAUUCUCUCUCUCUCUGCUCCAAAGUGGAUUGCGACUGGGUGGUCGGGUGAUAAAGAUCCCCCCCACAAAGUUGCCCGGAAACGCACGUUUUGGGGUAUAUGAAUGGUUAUAUCUUGACCAGGAAAUUUUUUAAAUCCUCAAAAUUUUAAAUUUAGAAUCAGUAUGAGUUUCUGAUUCCAAAAAUAUAAAAAUUUCCUAACCACACCCCCUGGGGAAGUGCCUUCCCCCACAGGGGGUGUGGUCAUCAAAAUUUUCAGGAGUGCAUUCCUUGGCCACCCUGAAUUAUAAAUAUGUAUAUUUUUAUGGGGUUACAUCCCCAGGGACUUUUGGGACCUGCCUUGGUCUUAAUUUACACUGUGAGACGGACAGAUUGAGUGGUGGUGGUGGUGGCUGUCUCAAACUUGUCUGCUGCCGAUACAAGUUGAGACUUGUUAUUUAGUGCGAAUAAGUAAACACACAGGCAGUGAGACGAGAUUUUUUCAGCUGUGAUUAUUUUUCUGUCCAGUUUAUCAUCGAUAAGUGCAUUAUCAAAAACGAUUCAGGUAAUUAUUUAUCAUAAUUUCAACUGUUGAAUCUCUCUUAUGUCAUUUCUUCAUAUAUUUUAGAGUGUUUAUUGGAAAAUGUCGAGGAAACGAGAGUCGAAAGAAAGGAGGGACGGAUGGGAGCAACUAGAUUUGAAUGGUGGUUUUGAGGUUGAUGGCGAAUUCUACGCCACACUUGAUGAAUAUGAGGAGACUUGUGAAGCUAAGCGGAAAUCCACUGUAUCUGUGACCCCAGCCCAGUCGACCUCCUCGAGCAAGGAAAACGGUGGGGACGAUGACGAUACUUUUGACGACGGACUCACUGUUGAUGGCGUUUACUACGCAUCAGUUGAAGCGUAUAUGGCUUCAGAAGGAAGUGUUCCACCUCCCCCGUUGCUGAGGAAAGAGCCUCCCCCUCCAAGUGUGACCGUGUGGGCAACCACCUCCUCCUCUUCAGGAAGAAAGCGUCUCACCCCAACUACAUCAGCUCGUGUCCCUCUUCGUACCGUUUCCGCCUCUGCUACUUCGAUCCGUCCACGAAUUAUCUCGUACCACGAGUAAGCACGGAGAAUCAAGAGGAGGAGACAAAAAAGGUGCCAAAACGGGCAGCAAAGCCGUUGCAACCGUACAGUGAUUAUGAUGAUGACGAAGAAGAGGUUGACGCUCAUGCCCUGUUCUCGUUCGGUGAAACUCCUCCGGAAGAGAAAAGUAUUGAACAGGUGGAUGAGUUGGAAAUAAGUGAGCCAGUGGCAUCUACUUAUUCAUCCUCUGGACCUGCUUCUAAUCCACCACUGUAUUCGCGCAACCCAGAAAUUGAAGAGUACCGGAUCCAGUUGGUCGAAUUUGCUAGGAAGAAUGUCACAGGGAAGAAGGAAGAUAAUUUGGAGAAAAUGCUCGAACUUUUGGAAAAUGCUCAAUGGAGAGUUGGGCGAGCAGGACAGACUAGACACGAUAACUGGAGAAGUCAUCCUGACGAUGUCUACUUUGAAAAUGGACAAGGAUAUUACAAUAAA
Molecule: long non-coding RNA, 4141 nt
Organism: Folsomia candida
Lineage: Eukaryota; Metazoa; Arthropoda; Collembola; Entomobryomorpha; Isotomidae
Exons: 7
Source: RefSeq, a predicted model, not a curated record